RNAcentral lists this ribosomal RNA (253 nucleotides) under uncultured bacterium. Its description in RNAcentral is "partial 16S ribosomal RNA". It matches the Rfam family "Bacterial small subunit ribosomal RNA", at positions 524 to 776 of the family's 1533-position model. The record is from RNAcentral.
UACAGAGGUCUCAAGCGUUGUUCGGAUUCAUUGGGCGUAAAGGGUGCGUAGGUGGCGCGCUAAGUCGGGUGUGAAAUCCCGGGGCUUAACCUCGGGACUGCAUUCGAUACUGGCGUGCUUGAGGACUGGAGAGGAGACUGGAAUUCAUGGUGUAGCAGUGAAAUGCGUAGAGAUCAUGAGGAAGACCAGUGGCGAAGGCGGGUCUCUGGACAGUUCCUGACACUGAGACACGAAGGCCAGGGGAGCAAACGGG